GAUGAACGCUGGCGGCGUGCCUAACACAUGCAAGUCGAACGAAGCACUUUGAUUUGAUUCUUCGGAUGAAGAUUAUUGUGACUGAGUGGCGGACGGGUGAGUAACGCGUGGGUAACCUGCCUCAUACAGGGGGAUAACAGUUAGAAAUGACUGCUAAUACCGCAUAAGACCACGGAGUCGCAUGACUCAGUGGGAAAAACUCCGGUGGUAUGAGAUGGACCCGCGCCUGAUUAGGUAGUUGGUGGGGUAACGGCCUACCAAGCCGACGAUCAGUAGCCGACCUGAGAGGGUGACCGGCCACAUUGGGACUGAGACACGGCCCAAACUCCUACGGGAGGCAGCAGUGGGGAAUAUUGCACAAUGGGGGAAACCCUGAUGCAGCGACGCCGCGUGAGCGAAGAAGUAUUUCGGUAUGUAAAGCUCUAUCAGCAGGGAAGAAAAUGACGG
Molecule: ribosomal RNA, 447 nt
Filed under: uncultured bacterium
Lineage: Bacteria
Description: bacterial SSU rRNA
Rfam family: Bacterial small subunit ribosomal RNA
Source: RNAcentral